This 1288-nucleotide long non-coding RNA is filed under the name Pogona vitticeps (central bearded dragon). RNAcentral describes it as "lncRNA (ENSPVIG00000016607.1)". The record is from RNAcentral. Lineage: Eukaryota; Metazoa; Chordata; Lepidosauria; Squamata; Agamidae.
GUUUCUAGUCACUAUGGCGGCGGCGGUGGCGGCGGUUCCUGCUGCUGGGAAGGUCGAGGCAAAGUUUUCGCGGUUGGCGGACGCCUGAGAGGGAGACGCCGCUCGGGGAGGCGCCCGGCCGCCAGGCCUCUCUCUCCUUUGGCGGGAACGGGACGAAGCCUCGCAUCGGCGAGCGAGAAGCGCCGCGCCUCAGGAGGGAGAGAGGGCUCCUGUCUCCCAGCCACCUGCAGCGGGACCGAGCGGAGGGCGCCGGGGCUUCCCUCGGCCUUGCUCGGGAGGUUGUCCCCCUUCCCGUCCCCUGCGGAGAGCAUUCGGCCAGCCUGGGCGCCGAUAGCCCCGCUGGACAGCCUUCCCUUCUCCCGGCCUCCCCCUUCCUCCUCCUCCUCCUCCUCCGCCGCCGCUUUCAUUGAUAAGUCAUCGGCGUUGCUUGUUCGAGACCAGCGCUGGGGCAGCCGCCACACUUUCUGCUUUUCUCCGCCGUCCCCAUCUGGCCGGCCGGCCGAGCCACCGACCGACCGACCCGCUGUCAGUUUCUCCUCCACUUGAGAAGAACAAUUCCCCCCCCCCCACGGCUCCCGGCAGUGUGGGAUGAUUAGGAUCCACUGAGCUUUUAUGGAGAACAAAACUGGCAUUUCCUUCACGAUCCAGCUGGUGAUUUAAUUGCCUCUUUGCUAAUUCUGGUCUGGGCCUGGUGGAGGAGGAGAGCCUGCUUCUUAGUUGGGUGCCCUCGCGUUCCUGCCUUUGCUUUAAUAGGUGAAGAAGAUGAAAGGUGGAUUCACUCCUGGAUGUGUUAAACUGUUUUUGCUGCCAAGGCUUCCUGGUUGUUCUGCAGUCCUGUAAAUCUCAGCUGUUUCCCAGUCCCUCAGUCUUAACACUUUUUUUCUUGUGGAGGAAACUCUUGGGCAGUGUUUAUUGAAGAGAAUAGAGUGGUUACAUCCCAAACAAGUAUUUGUGUGUGAGUCACUCACUUGGAGUUACAGCCAUCCCCACCUUAAUCUAACAAGUUCUGUUUUCUUCUGACUUGUCAGAUGCUUGUUCACAUUACUGAGAAAAAUGGAUUAAUGUGGAACAUAACCAGUCUGCUGCAGGCCUUAUUAAAGGAAACAAUGGGGCUUUUUUACUGGAUUAUUGCCAGCAUUAGUUCACACACUGAAGGUAUAAGUUGUUAGAUCUUGCUUGCAGGUGAUGUUUGUCCUGCUUUAAUGUGAAGUGCAGUGGGAAUUUUGCUUAUCAACUGUGGAGGGUGGCUUGGAUCAAGAAGAGUUUCUCUUCUUCCCAGCUUGGUGUG